GACGAACGCUGGCGGCGUGCUUAACACAUGCAAGUCGAGCGGAAAGGCCUUUCGGGGUACUCGAGCGGCGAACGGGUGAGUAACACGUGAGUAAUCUGCCCUGCACUCUGGGAUAGCCAUCGGAAACGGUGAUUAAUACUGGAUAUUAACUGCCUACGCAUGUGGGUGGUUGGAAAGUUUUUUCGGCUGAGGAUGGGCCCGCGGCCUAUCAGCUUGUUGGUGGGGUGACGGCCUACCAAGGCGACGACGGGUAGCCGGCCUGAGAGGGUGACCGGCCACACUGGGACUGAGACACGGCCCAGACUCCUACGGGAGGCAGCAGUGGGGAAUAUUGCGCAAUGGGCGAAAGCCUGACGCAGCGACGCCGCGUGAGGGACGAAGGCCUUCGGGUUGUAAAGCUCUUUCACCGGAGAAGAUAAUGACGGUAUCCGGAGAAGAAGCCCCGGCUAACUUCGUGC
This 458-nucleotide ribosomal RNA is filed under the name uncultured bacterium. RNAcentral describes it as "bacterial SSU rRNA". It matches the Rfam family "Bacterial small subunit ribosomal RNA", at positions 28 to 508 of the family's 1533-position model. The record is from RNAcentral.